This 986-nucleotide long non-coding RNA is filed under the name Fukomys damarensis (Damara mole-rat). RNAcentral's name for it is "lncRNA (ENSFDAG00000033454.1)". The record is from RNAcentral. Lineage: Eukaryota; Metazoa; Chordata; Mammalia; Rodentia; Bathyergidae.
GCUGAUUAUUAAUUAUUGAUUCAUUCUUUUCACAGAUAUAGGCCAAUUCAUAUUAUCUGUUUCUUCUUAUUAUGCUUUGGUAGAAGAUUCAGGACAACAAGGCAGCCAUGACAGUACAACUAAAGACACAAAAGACUUCAGAACUGCUUCAGAAUCACCCAGCGGACAUCAGAAAUAACCUUUGAUGGUAGAAGGCCUUUUUCAAUGCGACCCCAGUUGCUGCUGAUACCGAAUCCAGAGAGGUGAACAGAUUCACCCUUCCUAAUAAUACAACCACAGCAACAGCAGCUGUGACUGAGGAGAAAGCAGAAUAACAUCUCUUCAAGUGGGGACUCCCUGAUUCAACAGGCAUUAUUCUUGAUCUGAAGGCUAUGAAAGAGAUUGGUAGACUAAGAACCUUGGCUGAUGCUCUAGAGAUAAACAUACAGAAAGAUACUCACUAAUACUUUUGUUCAUUCAUCUUAACAUAGACAAGGCUCCAUGAACCAGCCAAUAAUCUUCUCACAAUAGGGCUUGGAAUUAUAUUCUUUUCAGCCUGGUCUUUUCUCUGUGUUCUCUAAGUCCUUAAGAGAGACCAAGUGAACCAUCAAACUCAGAACCCAACCUCAUAUGGAUUUACUGAAAGAUAUCAAGAGGUAGUUGAAUGUUCCUGCCAAGAAAAAGUGACAUCUUUUAACUUUUUGGUAUUAUCUCUGUUUAUAAAGAAUAAGACUUCCUGCCUCACAAGCACAAGGACCCAAGUUCGAUCCCGAUCCUCGGUCCCAAAAAUAAGCUGCUAUUCAAAAAACAACGUUAAGAAGUUGAGUAGGCAAUUGCAUAUUUGGCAAAAGACAAGAGUUUGGCAAUUUCUUAAAAUGUAUGUACCCUUAAGUAUAUAGCCCCACAAUUCACUACUUGGUAUUUACCCAAAGGAAAUAUAAAGGUAACAAAACUAACCAAUCAAAAAUGCAUUUUUUUCGGAAAUGUUUUAUUUACUUAUUGUAGCC